CCUACGGGUGGCAGCAGUGAGGAAUAUUGGUCAAUGGACGAGAGUCUGAACCAGCCAAGUAGCGUGAAGGAUGACUGCCCUAUGGGUUGUAAACUUCUUUUAUAUGGGAAUAAAAUGUUCCACGUGUGGGAUUUUGUAGGUACCAUAUGAAUAAGGAUCGGCUAACUCCGUGCCAGCAGCCGCGGUAAUACGGAGGAUCCGAGCGUUAUCCGGAUUUAUUGGGUUUAAAGGGAGCGUAGGUGGAUUGUUAAGUCAGUUGUGAAAGUUUGCGGCUCAACCGUAAAAUUGCAGUUGAAACUGGCAGUCUUGAGUACAGUAGAGGUGGGCGGAAUUCGUGGUGUAGCGGUGAAAUGCUUAGAUAUCACGAAGAACUCCGAUUGCGAAGGCAGCUCACUGGACUGCAACUGACGCUGAGGAGCGACAGCGUGGGUAGCAAACAGGAUUAGAUACCCGUGUAGUC
This 460-nucleotide ribosomal RNA is filed under the name uncultured bacterium. RNAcentral's name for it is "partial 16S ribosomal RNA". It matches the Rfam family "Bacterial small subunit ribosomal RNA", at positions 338 to 795 of the family's 1533-position model. The record is from RNAcentral.